UGUGGAAAAAAAAUACCUGGUUCUGGAUCCCGACCCUGGGAGAGGAGCUCAGGGUGGGAGAGCCUCACGGCACCAAUGUAAUGGAUUGAUUAAAAAAUGCUGCUGGAUCUCUGGUGGCUGCAGCGGCAGAAACACUGCAGGUCCCCAAGCGGCAGCAGUGGGCAGCCAGUCCUAGGCAAGGGACUGGUGCAGGUUCCAGAGUGGAUGCAGGCCAUGAGUGACCCCGUGGUUUCCAAGAGGAUGAUGGGACAUGACGUCUACCUCAUCUGGAUUGUGGGAACGCUAACCACGAGGCAUAACUGCCAGGGCCCUGCUCAAACUGAGGAUAAGCCCUGGAGGGCUGACUGCUCCACUUCACCUUGACCCAGUUGGGUCAGUCCCCCAACUUCCUCCUCCACAGGAAAGGUUUCUCAGGUCACUUGCGGCUGGUGGCCAGACACUAAUGAUACCAUGGUACCUCCAUCCCCAAGGGAAGCCACAGAGACCACGGGAGUCUGGGCCAUUUGAAUUGACACAAAGGCCCUUUGGAUCUGCCUCCUGCUCCAUUUAUCCUCCUCAGACCGCUGACUAACUGCAGCUCCGUCAGUGGCAGCAGGCAACCAGCUCCUUCCCCGACUGUACCCAUUUAUAGCUCAUUUCAUAUGUAAAAGUCAGGCCUUGCUUUUUCUAGAGCUCCUAAAUGGGCUGAGAAAGGCAGACAGGUUUGCCUGGCUAACAGGCUUCAUAUUAAAGGAUACACAGGUUUCAGAUGUAACUUUUCAUUAAAGGAACGAGCUUUGCAAUGACUGUUCUCAGUAAUAAGUACUGUCUCUGGCUCAUGAUUAGAUGGAAAGAAAACAGGUUAAAGUUUAUAUAGGUUCUGAGGAGCAGAGGAAAUGUUCCACGGCUCCUUCAGGUCUAAGGAUAGGAAGGCUUGAGUAAGUUCUGAGGGUCUAAUCACGUGAUUUUAGAGACGGGCGGUGGUGGCACACGCCUUCAACCCCAGCACUCGGGAGGCAGAGGCAGGUGGAUCUCUGUGAGUUUGAAGACAGUCUGGUCUAUAGGAGCUAGUUCCAGGACUGGUUCCAAAGCUACAGAGAAACCCUGUCUUGAAAAACCACCAGAAGAAGAAGAAAGAAGAAAGAAGAAGAAGAAGAAGAAGAAGAAGAAGAAGAAGAAGAAGAAGAAGAAGAAGAAGAAGAAGAAGAAGAAGAAAUUAAGAAAGAAAAUGAUUUAAGACUUAUUUCCAGGCAGCUGACAGACGCCAUCCAGGGAGCAGCUGCAGACGAUCUGCUACGAGGGACCGCGAGCCCUACCGCGAGCCCUAGAUGGGCUGAAAGUGAUGUGGGCCAGUCCAGCUGGUGGGAUUGCUCGCUGCCUCAUCUGGGGCAGCGAACUAGAUGUUCCUGAUGAAUGCCCCAUUGCCCAGCCUUUUCUAGCCUUUCAGCCUUCCUGGGCCCUGACUUCAAGAGGAAGUAAAGCACAUCACCCGGUAUCCUCCUCAAAAGGCUGGAGAGUUAGUUCAAAGGAAGCUUCCUGGCCUAGAGGACGAAAUAGCUAAAUUGGCAUGCCAGGAAAGGUACCUGUUAAAACCAAACAGACCAGAUCUAUCCACAGGUGGGUUGAGUAGCUGAAGUCACUCUACAGUAUGAUGGGGCACGCGGCCUGCUCUGUGUAGAACAAGGAGGUUUGUGUACAGCUUUAAGAUUUAUUAUUAUUACUAUUAUUAUUGUUGUUGUUCUAUUCAAACCAUUCUGAAUUAAUUAGAGAUGAUCUGGCCACACUAAAAAAAAAAAAGCAUUACAAAAAAGGGGGGCCUUGGAUGAAAUAAACGACAAAUCCCAUUCUCAUUUCCAGGCUCCUCCUAGUUUUGAUUACGGUGCCUAAGAGAUCCAUGAAACAAAAACCCCUCUAACCUGUGAGCCCCUUGCCCAAGGACAGACACAUUCUGAAACGCUGGAGGUUGGUGUUUAUGGGAGAAAACAAGCCAUGUGUUCUUCCUCCCUUCAACACCUUUGUUGACCCAACACUACUGGAUGAGCUUGAUCACACGUGGGUGGGAAACACGUGGAUAGGAAAUGUGUCAGGACAUAUGCUCGCCCCAUCGGACCUGAGAGAAACAUGCUAACUUUAUGGGAUUGACCCCCUCUUUUUUGCUGGUUUUUCGAUAUGGGUUUUCUCAGUGUAGCCCUUUCUGUCCUGGAACUCACUCUGUAGACCAGGCUGGCCUCAAACUCACAGAGGUCCGCCUGCCUCUACCUUCUGAGUGCUGGGGUUAAAGGCGUGCGCCAC
This is a long non-coding RNA of Alexandromys fortis (reed vole), 2271 nucleotides long. RefSeq lists it as uncharacterized. The transcript has 3 exons. The record is from RefSeq and is a predicted model, not a curated record. Lineage: Eukaryota; Metazoa; Chordata; Mammalia; Rodentia; Cricetidae.